Molecule: ribosomal RNA, 443 nt
Filed under: uncultured bacterium
Lineage: Bacteria
Description: partial 16S ribosomal RNA
Rfam family: Bacterial small subunit ribosomal RNA
Source: RNAcentral
CCUACGGGAGGCAGCAGUGGGGAAUAUUGGGCAAUGGAGGAAAGUCUGACGCAGCAACGCCGCGUGAAUGAUGAAGGUCUUCGGAUUGUAAACUGCUUUUCUAAGGGAAGAAGACAGUGACUGUACCUUAGGAAUAAGCCUCGGCUAACUACGGGCCAGCAGCCGCGGUAAUACGUGGGGGGCGAGCGUUAGCCGGAAUGACUGGGCGUAAAGGGUGCGUAGGUGGUUUGGCAAGUGAGUGGCGAAACUCCAAGGCUCAACGUUGGAACUACUACUGAAACUGGUGGACUGGAGUGCGGGAGGGGCGAGUGGAAUUCCUGGUGUAGCGGUGGAAUGCGUAGAUAUUAGGAGGAACACCAGUGGCGAAGGCGGGUUGCUGGACCGUAACUGACGCUGAGGCGCGAAAGCGUGGGUAGCGAACAGGAUUAGAUACCCUAGUAGUC